Molecule: ribosomal RNA, 400 nt
Filed under: uncultured bacterium
Lineage: Bacteria
Description: partial 16S ribosomal RNA
Source: RNAcentral
UGGCCGUCCAUGGAUAUACUUCGAAACAUCUUUGGGGAAGAUGCCGGCAUCGAGGUUGGUCAGGCCGGUGGCCAGCUUCUUGACCUUGCCUUCGGGCAGCAGCGAGGCCGCGCUUUUGGCGAGCUGCUUGUAAGUGGCCUCAUCGGCGUUCUCGAGGUCGGCCAGUUUGGCGUAGCCAGCCACGGAAUCGAAGUAGUUCGUGUUCUUGUAUUGCUCAACAAGCGCGUAAUACUUUCUGACCUUUUGCUCUAAUUCCUGCAGGCGACGGUAUUUUUCCAGGGCCUGCUGAUAAACUCGAUUAGCUGAGUCGGCCACCUUCCGGGCGCUGGCCUGUGUGCGUUGCAGCCGGGUGGUGGAAUCGGCAACUACGGAAUCCGUUCUUCCCAGCAGCCGCGGUAAU